UACGUAGGGUGCAAGCGUUGUCCGGAAUUAUUGGGCGUAAAGAGCUCGUAGGCGGUCUGUCGCGUCGGCUGUGAAAACCCGGGGCUCAACCCCCGGGCCUGCAGUCGAUACGGGCAGACUAGAGUGCGGUAGGGGAGACUGGAAUUCCUGGUGUAGCGGUGAAAUGCGCAGAUAUCAGGAGGAACACCGGUGGCGAAGGCGGGUCUCUGGGCCGUAACUGACGCUGAGGAGCGAAAGCGUGGGGAGCGAACAGG
Molecule: ribosomal RNA, 254 nt
Filed under: uncultured bacterium
Lineage: Bacteria
Description: partial 16S ribosomal RNA
Rfam family: Bacterial small subunit ribosomal RNA
Source: RNAcentral